Molecule: ribosomal RNA, 433 nt
Filed under: uncultured bacterium
Lineage: Bacteria
Description: partial 16S ribosomal RNA
Rfam family: Bacterial small subunit ribosomal RNA
Source: RNAcentral
AACGAACGCUGGCGGCAUGCCUAACACAUGCAAGUCGAACGAGACCUUCGGGACUAGUGGCGCACGGGUGCGUAACGCGUGGGAACCUGCCCUUAGGUUCGGAAUAACUCCCCGAAAGGGGUGAUAAUACCGGAUAAUGUCUUCGAACCAAAGAUUUAUCGCCUUUGGAUGGGCCCGCGUUGGAUUAGCUAGUUGGUAGGGUAAAAGCCUACCAAGGCGACGAUCCAUAGCUGGUCUGAGAGGAUGAUCAGCCACACUGGGACUGAGACACGGCCCAGACUCCUACGCGAGGCAGCAGUGGGGAAUAUUGGACUAUGGGCGAAAGCCUGAUCCAGCAAUGCCGCGUGAGUGAUGAAGGCCUUAGGGUUGUAAAGCUCUUUUACCCGGGAUGAUAAUGACAGUACCGGGAGAAUAAGCUCCGGCUAACUCCGUG